UUUAGAUCUAAAAUAAAACUAUUUUAAAAAAUUAUAAAUAUUUUGUGUUGAGUUUCAAAUCUGCAUACAUAUCAUUUACCAGUAUCAUCAUCCAUUAUAUCUAUGAUGAAAUUGGUGCGUAGAUGAUCUUUACAUAUACAAUUGUCAAGAUGGUUAUUAUAGAGGUGAGAAAAUAUUUCUCUUCCAAAAAUUCUAUAACAAUCAAAGAGUAAAGAUUUUUUAGGAGGUGGGUGGUGAUUAACUAUAGAUUUUUCACUUUGCCUGGCACAAACUUAUUUUAUGGCUGGUUAAGAGCAUGGCUGGUUAAGAGCAUGGCCAACGAGAUAAUUUAGUUUUGGAAUUCUAAGAAAAAAAAAAAAAAAAAUAUAUAUAUAUAUAUAUAUAUGUAUGUAUAUAUUAUAUAUGUGUAUGUAAAUGCGGGAAACGUAAUCCAAAAUAUCUGAUUUUAGAUAUUUUAGUUUUGUUUUCCGUAAAAUUUAGAACUCCGUAAUUACAUACAAAUAUAUAAGAUAUACAUACAUAUAUAUGUACUGUUACAACCCUAAAACUAAAAUUCUUUGAUAAAGUUGUUCUAAACUUUCUCCCCUCAGUUCAGACCUUGAGCAUCUCCUGAUAAAUAAUAGGGUGAAUUAGCCAAAUAACCAAAUUUGAAAAGAAAAUUAAGUGUAUAGCAUUGAUUUUGACAUAAUAAAGCCCAUAACAAUUAUGUCAACUUCUAUCCGGUAAUACUCUUUUUUUGUUCAAGUUGUCAGUAAUAGAGAGAGAAACUGAUGAUAUCAACAAUCUGACACCCCACAAUUAAUUAUCACACGUAAUUCAAUCAACACCACACAUUUGUUUAACACAUAAAUAUACAUCUAAUUUUUCUAUACCAUAUUACUAAAAAUAAUAGGAUUCAAAAUCCACUCACACCUAGUAAAUACUAAACUUUAAUCCAAACCUCAACUCCAAAAUAAUAAACCCUAAACUUUAAACAUCCCCUUCCAUCUAAAUACUAAACCCUAAACCCUAAUUACUGAACCCUAAACCCAAAUAUAAACCUUAAACCCAAUUAUCAAAAUCUGAAAAUAGUAUAUAAUAUUAUGUAAUAUUAAACUAAAUCCAAACAAAACUCCUCAAUGCUAAACUCAGACCUAACUUUUGAAUACUAAACCCAAAAAUGCUAUCACUAAACCCAAACCUAAACUCCCACCUUCCAAAUACUAAACCCUAAAUCCUAAUCACUAAACCCUAAACCCAAGUAUAGACUAUAAACCCAAAUAGAAUGGAACAAAAUACAUAGUAUAGUAUAAAUUGGUAAGCAAAAAAAACACCCUUUUUUAAUCGUCAAAUGGAACAUACAUAAUACGGUCACUAAACCCAAACAUCAACCCCCACCUUCCAAAUACUAAACCCUAAAUCUUAAUCAUUAAACCUAAACCCAAGUAUAAACUCUAAACCCAAAUAGUAUAGAACAAAAUAAAUAGUAUAGUACAUAUAGUUGUAAACAAGAAAUUGAUAAAUAAUGAAUUUAUCAAACAAUCGAUGGUACAAUAAUACAACAACCGUAGCAUACUAUUUAGUUUGGUACUUGCGAAUUGUACAAAAAUAUAAGAAUCGUACUAUACUAUAAUUUUCUUUCACUACAUAUAGUAUAGUCGACGAGUUCAUCUUCUUCACAUCUUCCUCUUUUUACAGACAUGGUGAUACACACAUUCACUAGUACAGAGUAAUUAUUCUUCAUCAUACCAUAUCAAUACAGCAUACUAUAACAAUUUAAAUAACAAUGAAAAAAAUCAAGAUGAACAACAUUGAAAAAAACUAAAAAAAAAAAGAAAUUGUGAUGUCACCUCGUUGUUGUCUACGGUGCCAUCUUCUCCUCCAAACUCAAUUCUACAAGCCCAAAAUCCAUAUUAUUUCUUAGUCUAGUGGUUUGUAUUCGUAUGUAUAAAAAAAACAGAGAUUGGAGGAGAAGAGGAAGAAGAAGAGAAAGAGAUGUGGAACAAUGAUAACCACAAUUUAUUAAAUUAUUUAUUUAAUAUUUCUUUUGAUAAAUAACUCUCAGCAGGUCACACAGGUUGAAUUGAAGGGUAAUAUAGCAUUAUUACAUAAAAUAUAUGUACUAUAGAUGAAAGUUAGGGGUUUUAGCUAUGUAAUGAAUUAUAAUUUGUUUGAAGGUUAUACAGCCC
RNAcentral lists this long non-coding RNA (2168 nucleotides) under Brassica rapa (field mustard). Its description in RNAcentral is "long non-coding RNA (BRAP_LNC006520)". The record is from RNAcentral. Lineage: Eukaryota; Viridiplantae; Streptophyta; Magnoliopsida; Brassicales; Brassicaceae.